AGAUUGAACGCUGGCGGCAGACCUAACACAUGCAAGUCGAGCGGCAGCACGGGUACUUGUACCUGGUGGCGAGCGGCGGACGGGUGAGUAAUGCCUAGGAAUCUGCCUGAUAGUGGGGGGAUAACGUUCGGAAACGGACGCUAAUACCGCAUACGUCCUACGGGAGAAAGUGGGGGAUCUUCGGACCUCACGCUAUCAGAUGAGCCUAGGUCGGAUUAGCUAGUUGGUAGGGUAAAGGCCUACCAAGGCUACGAUCCGUAACUGGUCUGAGAGGAUGAUCAGUCACACUGGAACUGAGACACGGUCCAGACUCCGUACGGGAGCAGCAGUGGGAAUAUUGGACAAGUGGACGAAAGCCUGAUCCAGCCAUGCCGCGUGUGUAGAAGAGGGUCUUCGGAAUUGUAAAGCUAACGUUUAAGGUGGGAAGG
This 428-nucleotide ribosomal RNA is filed under the name uncultured soil bacterium. Its description in RNAcentral is "bacterial SSU rRNA". It matches the Rfam family "Bacterial small subunit ribosomal RNA", at positions 26 to 447 of the family's 1533-position model. The record is from RNAcentral.